This 496-nucleotide ribosomal RNA is filed under the name uncultured bacterium. Its description in RNAcentral is "partial 16S ribosomal RNA". It matches the Rfam family "Bacterial small subunit ribosomal RNA", at positions 28 to 507 of the family's 1533-position model. The record is from RNAcentral.
GAUGAACGCUGGCGGCGUGCCUAAUACAUGCAAGUCGAGCGAACAGAUGAGGAGCUUGCUCCUCUGACGUUAGCGGCGGACGGGUGAGUAACACGUGGAUAACCUACCUAUAAGACUGGGAUAACUUCGGGAAACCGGAGCUAAUACCGGAUAAUAUAUUGAACCGCAUGGUUCAAUAGUGAAAGACGGUUUUGCUGUCACUUAUAGAUGGAUCCGCGCCGCAUUAGCUAGUUGGUAGGUAACGGCUUACCAAGGCAACGAUGCGUAGCCGACCUGAGAGGGUGAUCGGCCACACUGGAACUGAGACACGGUCCAGACUCCUACGGGAGGCAGCAGUAGGGAAUCUUCCGCAAUGGGCGAAAGCUUGACGGAGCAACGCCGCGUGAGUGAUGAAGGUCUUCGGAUCGUAAAACUCUGUUAUUAGGGAAGAACAAAUGUGUAAGUAACUAUGCACGUCUUGACGGUACCUAAUCAGAAAGCCACGGCUAACUACGUG